This 504-nucleotide ribosomal RNA is filed under the name uncultured low G+C Gram-positive bacterium. RNAcentral's name for it is "bacterial SSU rRNA". It matches the Rfam family "Bacterial small subunit ribosomal RNA", at positions 964 to 1465 of the family's 1533-position model. Lineage: Bacteria; Bacillati; Bacillota. The record is from RNAcentral.
AAGAACCUUACCUGGUCUUGACAUCCCGCUGACCGGUAUAGAAAUAUACCUUUCCCUUCGGGGACAGCGGUGACAGGUGGUGCAUGGUUGUCUUCAGCUCGUGUCGGGAGAUGUUGGGUUAAGUCCCGCAACGAGCGCAACCCUUGAUCUUAGUUGCCAGCAUUUAGUUGGGCACUCUAAGGUGACUGCCGGUGACAAACCGGAGGAAGGUGGGGAUGACGUCAAAUCAUCAUGCCCCUUAUGACCUGGGCUACACACGUGCUACAAUGGAUGGUACAAAGGGCUGCAAGACCGCGAGGUUUANCCAAUCCCAUAAAACCAUUCUCAGUUCGGAUUGCAGGCUGCAACUCGCCUGCAUGAAGCUGGAAUCGCUAGUAAUCGCGGAUCAGCAUGCCGCGGUGAAUACGUUCCCGGGCCUUGUACACACCGCCCGUCACACCACGAGAGUUUGCAACACCCGAAGUCGGUGGGGUAACCCUUACGGGAGCCAGCCCCCGAAGGUGG